UGGUCAUGGUGUCUUUUCCAGCAAUGGA
Molecule: non-coding RNA, 28 nt
Filed under: Mus musculus (house mouse)
Lineage: Eukaryota; Metazoa; Chordata; Mammalia; Rodentia; Muridae
Source: RNAcentral